RNAcentral lists this ribosomal RNA (916 nucleotides) under uncultured bacterium. RNAcentral's name for it is "bacterial SSU rRNA". It matches the Rfam family "Bacterial small subunit ribosomal RNA", at positions 33 to 967 of the family's 1533-position model. The record is from RNAcentral.
ACGCUGGCGGCGUGCCUAAUACAUGCAAGUCGAACGGAGAUUAAGUAGCUUGCUAUUUAAUCUUAGUGGCGCACGGGUGAGUAAUAUAUAGCUAACUUGCCCAUUACUAAGGGACAACAGUUGGAAACGACUGCUAAUACCUUAUACUCCGUAUCUAUAUAAGUAGAUACGGGAAAGUUUUUCGGUAAUGGAUAGGGCUAUAUCGUAUCAGCUAGUUGGUAAGGUAAUGGCUUACCAAGGCUAUGACGCGUAACUGGUCUGAGAGGAUGAUCAGUCACACUGGAACUGAGACGCGGUCCAGACUCCUACGGGAGGCAGCAGUAGGGAAUAUUGCUCAAUGGGGGAAACCCUGAAGCAGCAACGCCGCGUGGAGGAUGACACUUUUCGGAGCGUAAACUCCUUUUCUUGGGAAAGAAUUAUGACGGUACCCAAGGAAUAAGCACCGGCUAACUCCGUGCCAGCAGCCGCGGUAAUACGGAGGGUGCAAGCGUUACUCGGAAUCACUGGGCGUAAAGGACGCGUAGGCGGAUUAUCAAGUCUCUUGUGAAAUCUAACGGCUUAACCGUUAAACUGCUUGGGAAACUGAUAAUCUAGAGUAAGGGAGAGGCAGAUGGAAUUCUUGGUGUAGGGGUAAAAUCCGUAGAGAUCAAGAAGAAUACCCAUUGCGAAAGCGAUCUGCUGAACUUAACUGACGCUAAUGCGUGAAAGCGUGGGGAGCAAACAGGAUUAGAUACCCUGGUAGUCCACGCCCUAAACGAUGUAUACUAGUUGUUGCUUCGCUAGUCGAGGCAGUAAUACACCUAACGGAUUAAGUAUACCGCCUGGGGAGUACGGUCGCAAGAUUAAAACUCAAAGGAAUAGACGGGGACCCGCACAAGCGGUGGAGCAUGUGGUUUAAUUCGAAGAUACGCGAAGA